CAAUGGCGUAUAUUUAAGUUGUUGCAGUUAAAAAGCUCGUAGUCGGAUUUUGGCUGAGAACGAUCGGUCCGCCGUUAGGUGUGCACUGAUUGGUCUCAGCUUCCUGGUGAGGAGGUGUGCUUCACGGCCACUUAGUCACCGUGGUUACUUUGAAAAAAUUAGAGUGUUCAAAGCGGGCUUACGCUUGAAUAUAUUAGCAUGGAAUAACACCAUAGGACUCCUGUCCUAUUUCGUUGGUCUCGGGACGGGAGUAAUGAUUAAGAGGAACAGUUGGGGGCAUUCGUAUUUCAUUGUCAGAGGUGAAAUUCUUGGAUUUAUGAAAGACGAACUUCUGCGAAAGCAUUUGCCAAGGAUGUUUUCAUUGA
Molecule: ribosomal RNA, 365 nt
Filed under: uncultured eukaryote
Lineage: Eukaryota
Description: partial 18S ribosomal RNA
Rfam family: Eukaryotic small subunit ribosomal RNA
Source: RNAcentral